Helianthus annuus (common sunflower) is the source of this 835-nucleotide long non-coding RNA. RefSeq lists it as uncharacterized. The record is from RefSeq and is a predicted model, not a curated record. The transcript has 3 exons. NCBI's taxonomy places the organism in Eukaryota, Viridiplantae, Streptophyta, Magnoliopsida, Asterales, Asteraceae.
UCGUUUUAACUUACUCUUUUCAACUUUGAGUGUGAAUUAGGAAGAAUCCUUAGAAUUUUUUUAACAAAUUAAGUACCUUUUUGGAUUUGUAGUUUCAUAGGGUAUUGUAAUGUUGAAGAAGAAGUAAAAAGUUUGGAAUGAAUUGAGUAAUUUUUAGGAUUUAUAUUUUCAGAAGGUAAUAUAAUGUUGAAGAAGAAGCUGACGUUGACUCAUUUGCUUCGUGUCACUACCAUUGUUGUUGAUUUUCUAGCCCAAAUUGCUGCGCAAGUACUGUGUGUUUUUUUUUAAAUUCUAAAGUAUACGACAUUUUUUUUAGAUCUCAUAAAAUUUACUUAACUGGUCGACUAAUUUCAGUGAUCCAAUUGUAAUUUAAAACCAUAGCUGGUGGUUUUUAGUUACUCUCCAUUUUAAGACGCCUAAGACAACUCUUGGUGCGUAGGGUACAAGUGCCACGGUUUCAAUUAGUUGGAAAAAAGGCUUUACUCGAAUCAACAAAUGUAAGCAAAGAAACUUGAAUUGGGGUCGAACUGGCGUUGGGUGUCCAUUGUCCAAGUGGGAAGCUGAACUUUUAAUAUAUAAUGGGACAACAGACUGAAAUUUUGGAAUGUUUCUUUACAGCACUAAAGCUAAAGAUACAGAGUUUGAUUAUUUGUGUAGGAAUAUAGGAUUGGAUCUGGUGGAAUAUUGAAAUACGAUAUGAUGUUGAAAUGUAAGGUAUACUAAUCUAAUGUCCUUAGAGCAAAUCUGUUUUUAUUUACCAAGUUAGUUUUUUUUGUUUUAGUUUUUCAAUGCUGACAAAUUAUCAAAAACACUUAUAUUUUAUAAACAUGAUGUA